AUGGAUGUGAAGUCUGCAAGGUGUGAGGUUCUACACUUGGAAAAAGUCUGAAUGUCUCUUCAUCCAUUUGGCCUAUACCUUGUAAGUGAUGAUUAAAUCUCUUUGAUAUGUAAAUGCCAUUAGCUUUGUUCUAGUAUCAUAUCCAAAGGAAGGAGAAAAACAUUCACAUUUACCCCCACAGAAUAAUAAUUAAGCCUCAUUUUUGUUAUAUUUGGAAUGUGACAAGUGCCGUCUUCUAACCAAGUCCAAACAUGAGUGGCCUAACUUGACCCUAGGGAAAGGAAUUGUGAUGUCCGUCCUAUUGGAUCGUGG
Non-coding RNA from Pelobates cultripes (western spadefoot toad), 312 nucleotides. Lineage: Eukaryota; Metazoa; Chordata; Amphibia; Anura; Pelobatidae. The record is from the annotation of a GenBank genome assembly.